CAGCCAGAGUAAAACGUUUUAGAAGGGGGCUGAAAAGUGCUCAACUUAGGGAUUUUACAGACGUCAGAAUGAGUCUUUUUUUGGUCAUUAUAAAUGUGUGUUUUUGGAGUGAGGCUGGACUCUCAAGGAUUAAAUGUUAAAAAAUGAGCGCCCUGUUUUUUUAUUUAUUUUUUAUUUUUAUUUUUAUAGCAUGUCUUACUACAGUGGCCCUUAGAUGCAAAACACAACGGCAAAUCAGAAAACACAACUGGAAACAAAAAAUACAAUGGCAAAAGAGAAAACACGAUGGCAAGUAAGAAAACACGAAACAAAAAGAGAAAACUCAGGGCAAAUAAGAAAAAUACAAUGGCAGAAGAAAAAAAGGAACAUAAAAAGAGAAAACACAACAGCAAAUCGAAGAACAUAACAUAAAAAGAGAAAACACAAAGGUUAAUGUCAUUGUGUUUUCUCUUUUGCUGCUGUAUUUUGUGAUUUGCUGUUGUCUUUUCUCUUUUUUGAUGUGUUUUCUGAUUUGCUGUUGUGUUUUGCACCUCAGGGCCACCGUACAUUUCUACAUUUAUUUUGACUUUUAUUGUGUAGCUGCACACAUUUUCUCUGCAGUAUUUUUUCCUUUGGUCGCUGCGACUACCUUCUUCAACAACCUCAAAAAGAAAAAUCUGUUAAAAAAAAAAAUCUCGUUUUAAAACUUUAGAAAAUCUGUCUUUCUUCUCAUCUUAAAAUGCUUUUAGACGUUUGGGUUAAAGUUGAGGUGAAUCACCAAAUGUUUUCAGGCAGAGGGAAAUGCUCUGAUUCAGGUUUACCUCCUAUAUUGACAAUAAAAAACAAAAUAAACAUAAAAUUGCGGUUAAUUUUAUUCUGCUUGUUCAGGGACCAUUGCCUGCUCCGGUUAAUGUAAACAGAUAGAGGUCAGCUCUCUAUUAGCUCUUCUACAAACAAUAGCGGUGUUGGUUUUGUUCUGUCUUUUUCAAUAUAAUUGGCUUGGGUUAAUCAGUGCUCCACGCUGAUAACUGAUUACAAUUUACUUUAGAUGAUUUAUAGUCACACAUUUAGAGAUGAAAAUUGAAUCAAAUAAGGAAUAUUUUCAUUUUAAAUCCACAACAAAAAGGAAAACAGGAGCUUGUUUUGUCUGGAUAGUGUCCGUUUACAUCUGCAUCAUUGUCAUCGUGUUGGAGUCGAGUCUUGAUGGAGGCUGAACUGAGUCUUGAAUCCUCAGUGUUCAGGUCUGUGACGAAUCUGAGUGUCCAUUUACUAGUCCCAAUCAAGUCUGAGUCCAGCUGCCAUUAUUAAUAUCUUUAUCUAUUAUAAGGAGGAUCGGCGUUUCACUCUUAAGUAUGGAGUCGACACGUUUUUAAAUAAGCUCCUCCUAAACCGCAGACUGUUAAAUCUGUCAAGUCUUGUAAACUUAAUAUCUUCACAUUAAUAUUCACUUCACAGUAGCUUAUUGGAUUACGACAGACAUCCUCCCAGUAAGCACUUUUUUGAUUUUUUUUAUAUUGUGAUAUAUAUCAAUAUCGACUGAUAAGGAAAAAAAUAUAUUCUGAUAAACUUUUUUUCUAUAUCGCCCAGCCCUACCUUCCAUACACAGUGCUGACAAUGCACUGCUUCCCCUCAUGAUAGACAGACAGACAGACAGACUUAAUUGAUCCCAAACUGGGAAAUUCUCAGAGACACCGGACGGUGGUCCAGAACCUCUUUGACGCUGUCUUGAAGUCAUUCUUCGUGGUCUCACCGAACUCUUCCCAUGUCCGGGUUUUUCUGACUGAACUCUUUCUUUAGCCUUUAGUCAUGAGCUGCUGGUAGUGAUAGAAAGAGCAAGAUCGCGGGUACAAGCGGCCUGGAUGCCUCUCGGAUGCCUCGCUGGUGAGGUGUUCAGGGAACGUCCUACCAGUAGGAAACCACUGGGAAGACCCAGGACAUGCUGGAGAAACUAGCUUUCUCAGCUGGCCUGGGAAUGUCCCAUAGGAAGAGCUGGACGAAGUGGCCGGGGAAAGGAAAGUCUGUCCCCAUAACCCAACUCUAGAUAUGCAGUAGAAGAUGGAUGGAUGAAGGUCAAGUUAAGUCCAAGGCCUGGAUUCCAGUGCCUCAACAAAGUCGCCAAAGCCCAUUGGCUGACUCAGAGCUUCCUGUAUCAUUUGUUCAACAUACUUCUGUAGAUUUUCAUGUUUUCCGUGAUUUACCAUGAAUGUACGAACAUGAUCUGUAACAUCUGUGAGCCUGCUGUUAACAAAGAGAGAAAACGUAGUCGUACUAUUUCUGCGUCGGACACCAUGUGGAGCGUUAACAUGGGUUUGAUUCGACGAGGUUGAUUAGCAUGUCUUUAUUAAAGUGGGACGAGAAAUUUAGGGAAGUUUUACAUGUCGGGGAGAUGAAGCGAGGACGGGUCCAAACAUGGCAACAUGGAGGGGAGGAUUAGCCUUUUGUUAAUGAGGAUUACUGCGUAAACCGGUGAAAGGCAACUAAGCCGAGCACCAUCGUCAUCAAACCGAUUUAGUUCCUGGCUCCUAUUUAGAAGGAUUAGCUCACAAUGUUAUUGUAAUGACAAUUGUUUUAGCAGUGAGACUGUUGAAGCUAUUCUCGUCUUAUUUCAUAUGCAGCUGCUCACGUUAGCAUGUUUGCUCUUUUGGUCAGAGCAUUAAACGCCACUAAAAGUAAAAGCCAGGAACUAAAAAAGAAGAACUAGAAAUGACUCAAACUUCUUCCUCUACGUUGGAAGAUUAACCUGAGCGAUGUUGUCUCCUCUCUCCCUCUGAGAAAGCUGCUGCGUUUCGCCUCAGUUUGGUUUCCACACGGGAGAAGGACAAAGGUUUAAAGGGAGGGAGGAUUUCCAAAAGAUAAUUAAGGAGGAAAAAACAGAGAAACUAUUGAAGGAGGCGUGGAGGAGGGAUUUGGAGCAGGGAGGAUAACAGAGGAGCGGAAGCUACCUUUGUUGUGUUUCGAACAAGUGGAUCUACUCAACUGCUUCUCCGACGCCAUGAAUAUGUAUUAUAUCAGGUUAUUCAUCCGCCGCCAUUGUUCCGCCCGCAAAUGAUGUCCCAACAGAGGAACACAGAGCGAAGACAAAGGAAAUUUGGGCAAAAUAAAACUGUCACAAAAACAAAAAAAAAACCACAGAGCUGUUCUUUUCAUGUCCACGCAGGUUCUUUUGUGGCGACGGAGGAAUCUUCAGAGAUGACUCACUUUUAUUCCAGCGCAUAAUGCCACCUUUUGAAGAGACGGCUCUAAUUAACAUCCAUUUGAAUAAUCAGAUUACUCCACAUUCUUGAAAUGUGCUGGUGAGAAAGCAGGAAUAUAUAGCCUCAUUGUGCACUAAUACAGCAAAGGUGGAAUGGAAAAUACUUCACGUUAAACCUCCUUUUUACUGAAAGAUGUGCAAACUAAUUAAGUGGCUUUACUGCUGGAUGAUUUCAAAAAGUCCUAAAACAUCAUUUUUAGUUUUCUUUGCCUUUGUCUGAUUUUUGGACAGUUUCUGCAUGGCCCUAUAGUUGGUCAUGUAAGUCCAUAUGUUAGUUUUUCCUGUUUGAAAUAUCUUAUCCCUUACUAGACGAAGCUUAAAUGUUUAAAAUGAUUGAUUUAGUUAUUCAUAAGAAAGACUGAGAACCCUUUACUUUAGCUGACAUCUCUUGCAGCGGUUUGAGUGGACUGAAUGAUUGGGCUUUAAUAAGUUACAAAGUUUGUAUACAUGAUAACCUGAAACACAAAUAUAAGUUUUUUCAAUUUUUUUAGCUCUGACAGCAUUUAGUAAAGACUUUUGUUCAAUUUUUGCAUGACUGUUAGAGCCCAAUAUGCAACAAUGGCCUGAAAUGUGAUUAAAAGAUAUGUAAUAAAAUCUAAAAUGUAAUAACUGAUCAAUAAUGUAAGAAAAUGCUGAAUCCAAAACUUUUUGCCCAAAAUGAAGCAAUUUUGUGUCAGUUAUUAUGUUUUGGGUUUUAUUACAUCAUAUUUAUAACAUUUCAGGUCAACACUUUUGUUACGCUUUUGAAAAAUUUUUACAUUUCGGACUUUUUAGCAUUUUUUUAAAUAACAAUAAAAGUUAAAAUGUUGACUACACAGACAAAAACACAGCGAUAUCCUUAUAUUCCCAAAUGUCAUCAAUAACUAAUAGCUAUUGACUGAUAUUAAAAGCUUUUUUUGUAAAUACACCAAUAAAAAGAUGCUUCCUUAACAAAAAUCCUGCCUCCCUCCACCUUUAAGUUUAGGCGAGCUCCUGUGACUUCGAUCCGUUGGUGUCAGGGGGUCUUGAAACUCAGUCUUGACCAUUUGGAGGCAGUUUUACGCAAAUUAAGUUGUUAUAAGAGAGGACAUCGUCAUCAACGAAUUGGCGCACUUUAACUAAUUGCUUUGAAUGUGAUUAAUACAUAUAAGCUUAAAAAAAAACCUAAUUUAGUCAAUCAAUAUGACUUUGGGUUUACUUAUUAAAUGUAUUAAAGCGCUAAUAUACGGAUAAUAAUAGAAAAAUAGACAAACAGUGAAGAGUGUGUCUACCAUUACCAAACAGAACAAUGAACAUGGCGCACACACUCACACACACACACACACACAUUCACACACUGCUCUGGUGCAAACACAAUAAUAUAGGUAACACUCACCUAGAGGGACCAGAGGAACAAGGGGCUAAUUAGUGAUGAUGAGAAGUUAAUUUAGUCAGACACCUCAGGUAAUAGUCUCCCCCCUCCUGUCUUCAUCUCCCUCUGUCUCCCCCCUCUUCCUCAAUCAUCCCCCGCUCUACAUAUUGCUUUUUACUCUCCCCCUUAACCAUUUUCAUGUUGGAGAAAAAAAAGGUGUCAAAUGUUCAGUUUUGUGCUUUUUUCUUCCCCCCUUGGUGUCUUUCUACCCCUCCGUCUUUCUCUCCAUCAAACACACGUCCUCUUGUAUCCUUCAGAGAUCUGAGGCGCUGCAAAGCAGGUGAGAUUGUCAAGUCGUCUAAGUGGGAAAUUACAUUAUCUUUCGCUUUGACAUUGCUGAAUUGUGUUGCUGUGUGUGUGUGUGUGUGUGUGUGUAGAUGUGUGUGUGAGACAGAGAGACAGGAGUGAGCAGGCAAGAUGGUUCCUGAGCUAAAUGUUUGCUAGCAGGUGAGCCUGUUGUUGACAGAUGGUGUUUGUGAGAGAAGCUCACUCCCUGCAGAGUCUCACCCCAGGAAAACGCUCAUGCUAACGCAGACAGGCCCACUAUACACACACACAGACACACAAAAGUAUACUUGCGCACACACAGAGCGCUAACACACAGUCACUAGGUCUCUGAGUGGAUUAUAACCUGUUCAAUUUGUGUUGUUCACAGCACAGCCAGGUGAGACAGACCACAAAAGGAAACAGAAAGUACAAGAGAAAUGAAGCUACAACUACGACAAACAUGAACGAUACAGAAACGACAAAAACUGUCUUUACCAUGAGCCGCAGCCUCUUUUAACCAACUAUUUACAAUAAAACUGAGACUCUCCACAAACAGCCAGCAGGAGGAGCUCUACUGUUUUCGCUCUACAACCCCAGUUCCUAAAAAUUGGGAUGUUGUGUUGGACGCUGGUAAAGAUUCGCAACAUUGGUUAUAAAGAGCAAAGUCCAGUGAGGUUCACCACUCUGUGAGAAACUGUGGGAGCACAUUGUUCAACAUUUCCAGAUCCUCUAAAAUCCACCGUCUGUAGUUUACCUGCAACCGUAUUAUGCAAGGAAGAAACAUUUUAUAAACAUGAUCUAGUAAUUCAAAAUUUGACUUUUGAAUUUGAGAACCACCCA
Xyrichtys novacula (pearly razorfish) is the source of this 5729-nucleotide non-coding RNA. The record is from the annotation of a GenBank genome assembly. NCBI's taxonomy places the organism in Eukaryota, Metazoa, Chordata, Actinopteri, Labriformes, Labridae.